GAGCAGUAGCCUACCAUUUGGCGCUACCACCAUCUCUAGCUGGCAUCCACGAUGUAUUCCAUGUAUCUAUGCUGAGGAGAUACGUAUCCGAUCCGGCACAUGUUCUGUCAGAUGUAUCAGUUCCAAUUCAGCCUAACGUCACUUAUGAGGAGGUUUCAGUGCGGAUUCUGGACCAUAGAGAGCGUCAGCUGCGGAACAAGACUGUCCGACUGGUUAAAGUCGGAUGGCAGCAUCAUUCUGACGAGGAGGCUACUUGGGAGCUGGAGGAUACGAUCCAAGCUCGAUACCCUCAUCUUUUUACUUGAGGUAUGUGGGUUGGAGUUUCUUUCAGCAUUUAUACUGUUUGGUUAUAUUAUAGUAUUUGCUGUUAGUUAUAGUGAAAUUUGGGGUCCAAAUUUUUAUUAGUAGGGGAGGAUGUGAGAUCUCGGAAAAUUUAAAUAAAUAGGGUGAUUUAAAAAUAGCCUUAUAGGAAUUUUCCGGAAUUUUUAGAAAUUUUCUGGAAAUUUUUCGGAGCUUGUACGAUGGGUAUUGUGGGGACGAAUUGAUGGGUUCGGAUAAAGCCUGUUUGGGGAUACAUGUUUAAGUGAGGAAAUGUUUUAAUUAAAUAUUUCCUUUUCUUUUUAAUUCUUCCCCAAAACCGCCGAUCCACCCUCUCUUCCCCGACCCUUCUUCUCGAUCUCUUCUCCUCUCCACCGAGCCUCUCUCGCGUCGUCGCCGAUCUCCGCGAGCUCACCGCCGAUGGAGGUUUUCCUCUCUGGAGUCUCACCAACGUCAGGGUCCCUGGCUACCGGGCGGCUCGAUCCUCUCCUCCCUCCCCCUCUCAUGUCUCUGCCCUAGAUCACCGACGCACCAGUUCUUGGCGAUCGGCGAUUCUUUCUCCGUCUCUUGGUGUUGCCGGCGAGGAGUGGAUCUUGGAGCUUUGAAGGGGUUAAAGCUAAGUCGAUUCUUUGGUUAGGUCGUAGAUUCCUUCCUUCUUGUUGAUUGAGGGGCAGAGGAAUUUUCGGGAACAUAGAAUCGAAUCUGGCGACACCUCCUGGAGACAAUCAGUUGAGUGAGGACCUGUUCUGUGGAUUUCAAAUUGAAUGCUGUGAGUUCUUUGAUCCAGCAAUUCAUCCUGUUACCGGCAGCAACAAUCCUUGCUGUAGAUCUACAAUCAGGGCAGUGAAUUGAGGUCCUGUUUCUGUGGGGUUUCUAUUGGUUACGACAGCCACCUCAUCCAGUAGCUCUUCUGGUUCCAGCUAUCAACAGCAGUGUGUAGAAUUAGGUAUGUUUUGGAUUAUGAUUAGUUAGGAUAAAUGAUCUUAGUUGUAGAUCAUCCUGUAGUUUGGUUAUUUUAGAUGGUUAUGCCUGUUGUGGAUGAAUUAGGUUUAUGUGUAGGUUUGAGUUGGAGAUGACAUGAUUACUAGAUAAGUUGUGAUUGUGGUGAUUAGGGUUUUGCCCUUAUUUAGUUUUGGGAAUUUUAUUUAGCUAUUUCAUUUGGAUUUAGCUAAAUAAAAUAUAUAUGUUGUUUG
This is a long non-coding RNA of Zingiber officinale, 1511 nucleotides long. RefSeq lists it as uncharacterized. Lineage: Eukaryota; Viridiplantae; Streptophyta; Magnoliopsida; Zingiberales; Zingiberaceae. The record is from RefSeq and is a predicted model, not a curated record. The transcript has 3 exons.